AGUGAACGCUGGCGGCAGGCCUAACACAUGCAAGUCGAACGGCAACAGAGUAAGAGUUGGUGUUUAGGUGAGGCGAGUGGGAGGGGGGUGAGGUGUCCGUCGGAAUGUACGUUGGCGGGGGGGAAAACGUGGAGAAGCUUGCUCAAAUAGCACAUAGGACCUAGGGCUAAAAGGAGGGGAUCUGCGGACCUUGCCAUAGGGAGUGAGCCGAUGGGGGUAUAGCGUGGUGGCGGGGAAAACGCCCACCAGGGCGGCGAUCCCGAGCGUGUCUGAGAGGAUGAUCAGCCACACUGGAACUGGGACCCGGUCCCGACUCCCACGGGGGGCAGCCGGGGGGAAUAUUGCACAAUGGGCGCAAGCCUGAUCCAGCCAUACCGCGUGUAUGAAGAAGGCCUUCGGGUUGUAAAGCCCUUUUGUCGGGGAAGAAAGGCAGCAGGUUAAUACCCUGCUGCACUGACGUUACCCGCAGAAGAAGCACCGGCUAACUUCGUG
Molecule: ribosomal RNA, 492 nt
Filed under: uncultured bacterium
Lineage: Bacteria
Description: partial 16S ribosomal RNA
Rfam family: Bacterial small subunit ribosomal RNA
Source: RNAcentral